Molecule: non-coding RNA, 24 nt
Filed under: Mus musculus (house mouse)
Lineage: Eukaryota; Metazoa; Chordata; Mammalia; Rodentia; Muridae
Source: RNAcentral
UAGCAGACAUGGGAUGGAGUCUGA